UGGUACCUUCUGGAUAGAAAAACUCUCUGCACUCAUUGGAUAUCAUCUCAGGCGUGUAAAUGUCGACAAAGUGUUGGACAAGGUCAGGAAACCAGCAGUCAGCUCUCGAAUAUAUGUGUAUGU
Non-coding RNA from Caenorhabditis elegans, 123 nucleotides. The record is from Ensembl. Lineage: Eukaryota; Metazoa; Nematoda; Chromadorea; Rhabditida; Rhabditidae.